RNAcentral lists this long non-coding RNA (338 nucleotides) under Homo sapiens (human). Its description in RNAcentral is "non-protein coding lnc-PTPN2-2:1". Lineage: Eukaryota; Metazoa; Chordata; Mammalia; Primates; Hominidae. The record is from RNAcentral.
UCCUGGAGGUGACUGUCCCCCUAGGAGAUGAUGUGGAUGGGGAAAUAGUUCAUACGCAGCUCAGCGACCUUGAAGCGGCAUCCGAGGAGAUGUGGCCACGGGGCAGGCGACCGACACCAGCGAGUCCAGAGGGCCAGCGUGUGCACCACUGUGUGUCUCCAGAGACUUCAGGAAGCAGCCACCACGCCCGAGGAAUGCAGGAAGAUGGACACACGGCUGGGGAAGUACAAUGAAAGGCCAAGUAGGCAGCCUGUUCUCCUCAGAUCAGUCCCCCACGAACACUCAUUCCCGAGGACUCAUCCAAUACUAAUAAGAGAAUGCUCUUGUUUUUGAAGAAU